CCCCUAGAUGUUCUGGGCCGCACGCGCGCUACACUGAACAGUUCAACAAGUCUUAACCUUGGCCGAUAGGUCUGGGUAAUCUUUGAACGCUGUUCGUGACUGGGAUAGACCUUUGCAAUUAUGGAUCUUCAACGAGGAAUUCCUAGUAAACGCAAGUCAUCAGCUUGCAUUGAUUACGUCCCUGCCCUUUGUACACACCGCCCGUCGCACCUACCGAUUGAAUGGUCCGGUGAAAUCUCGGGACGGCGGCUUGGUCGCUUGCGUCCGACUGCUGAAACUUGAUUAAACCAUAUCAUUUAGAGGAAGGUGAAGUCGUAACA
Molecule: ribosomal RNA, 320 nt
Filed under: uncultured eukaryote
Lineage: Eukaryota
Description: partial 18S ribosomal RNA
Rfam family: Eukaryotic small subunit ribosomal RNA
Source: RNAcentral